Molecule: ribosomal RNA, 292 nt
Filed under: uncultured bacterium
Lineage: Bacteria
Description: partial 16S ribosomal RNA
Rfam family: Bacterial small subunit ribosomal RNA
Source: RNAcentral
GUGUCAGCAGCCGCGGUAAGACGUAGGGCGCGAGCGUUGUCCGGAUUUAUUGGGCGUAAAGAGCUCGUAGGCGGCUUGUCGCGUCGUCCGUGAAAACCUGCAGCUCAACUGCAGGCUUGCGGUCGAUACGGGCAGGCUAGAGUUCGGUAGGGGAGACUGGAAUUCCUGGUGUAGCGGUGAAAUGCGCAGAUAUCAGGAGGAACACCGGUGGCGAAGGCGGGUCUCUGGGCCGAUACUGACGCUGAGGAGCGAAAGCGUGGGGAGCGAACAGGAUUAGAAACCCUCGUAGUCC